GACGAACGCUGGCGGCGUGCUUAACACAUGCAAGUCGAACGGAAAGGCCCCUUUGGGGGUACUCGAGUGGCGAACGGGUGCGUAACACGUGAGUAACCUGCCCUUGACUUCGGGAUAACUUCAGGAAACUGGGGCUAAUACCGGAUAGGAAUCCUUGCUGCAUGGUGGGGGUUGGAAAGCUUCGGCGGUUUUGGAUGGACUCGCGACUUAUCAGCUUGUUGGUGGGGUAGUGGCUUACCAAGGCUUUGACGGGUAGCCGGCCUGAGAGGGCGACCGGCCACAUUGGGACUGAGAUACGGCCCAGACUCCUACGGGAGGCAGCAGUGGGGAAUAUUGCACAAUGGGCGGAAGCCUGAUGCAGCAACGCCGCGUGCGGGAUGACGGCCUUCGGGUUGUAAACCGCUUUCAGCAGGGGCGAAGCUUGUGGUGACGGUACCUGCAGAAGAAGCACCGGCUAACUACGUG
Molecule: ribosomal RNA, 465 nt
Filed under: uncultured bacterium
Lineage: Bacteria
Description: partial 16S ribosomal RNA
Rfam family: Bacterial small subunit ribosomal RNA
Source: RNAcentral